Molecule: ribosomal RNA, 1194 nt
Filed under: human gut metagenome
Description: bacterial LSU rRNA
Rfam family: Bacterial large subunit ribosomal RNA
Source: RNAcentral
GGAGAGUAUCCUAAGGUGAGCGAGAGAACUAUGGUUAAGGAACUCGGCAAAAUGACCCCGUAACUUCGGGAGAAGGGGUGGUCACUAGAUGACCGACACUAAAGACGCCCAGGCAACUGUUUACCAAAAACACAGGUCUCUGCUAAGUCGUAAGACGAUGUAUAGGGGCUGACACCUGCCCAGUGCUGGAAGGUUAAGAGGAGUGCUUAGAUAGACGCAAGUCGAUUAUUCGAAGGUACGAAUUGAAGCCCCAGUGAACGGCGGCCGUAACUAUAACGGUCCUAAGGUAGCGAAAUUCCUUGUCAGGUAAGUUCUGACCCGCACGAAAGGUGUAAUGAUCUGGGCACUGUCUCAACCAUAGACUCGGUGAAAUCUUAAUACCUGUGAAAAUGCAGGUUACCCGCAACAGGACGGAAAGACCCCAUGGAGCUUUACUGUAGCUUGAUAUUGAAGUUCGGUAUAUUAUGUAGAGAAUAGGUGGGAGACUAUGAAGUUAGGACGCUAGUUCUAAUGGAGUCACCUUUGGAAUACCACCCUUAAUGUAUUGAAUUUCUAACCUCGAUUCAUUAUCUGGAUCAGGGACAUUGUCUGGUGGGCAGUUUGACUGGGGCGGUCGCCUCCCAAAAAGUAACGGAGGCGCCCAAAGGUUCCCUCAGAAUGGUUGGAAAUCAUUCAAAGAGCGUAAAGGUAUAAGGGAGCUUGACUGCGAGACCAACAAGUCGAGCAGAUACGAAAGUAGGGCUUAGUGAUCAGACGAUUCAGAAUGGAAUGGUCGUCGCUUAACGGAUAAAAGUUACCCUGGGGAUAACAGGCUGAUACCACCCAAUAGUUCACAUAGACGGUGGUGUUUGGCACCUCGAUGUCGGCUCGUCGUAUCCUGGAGGUGAAGUCGCUUCCAAGGGUUGGGCUGUUCGCCCAUUAAAACGGCACGCGAGCUGGGUUCAGAACGUCGUGAGACAGUUCGGUCCCUAUCCGUCGUGGGCGUAGGAAAAUUGAAGAGAGCUAUCCUUAGUACGAGAGGACCGGGAUGGACAUACCUCUGGUGUAUCUGUUGUAGCGCCAGCUGCAGUGCAGAGUAGCUAUGUAUGGAAAGGAUAACCGCUGAAAGCAUCUAAGCGGGAAGCCUCCUUUGAGAUGAGUUUUCCCAUAUUUUAUAUAGUAAGAUCCCUUGAAGACUACAAGGUUGAUAGGCUG